RNAcentral lists this ribosomal RNA (1118 nucleotides) under uncultured bacterium. RNAcentral's name for it is "bacterial SSU rRNA". It matches the Rfam family "Bacterial small subunit ribosomal RNA", at positions 75 to 1208 of the family's 1533-position model. The record is from RNAcentral.
UUGGUGAAGUAAUAUACUUAGUGGCGGACGGGUGAGUAACGCGUGAACAAUCUGCCCUGUACAAAGGAAUAGCCUCGGGAAACCGGGAUUAAAACCAUAUGACACUUGAGUAUCACAUGAUACAUAAGUCAAAUCGAUUUAGAGGUAUAGGAUGAGUUCGCGUCUGAUUAGCUAGUUGGUAAGGUAAUGGCUUACCAAGGCGACGAUCAGUAGCCGGCCUGAGAGGGUGAACGGCCACACUGGAACUGAGACGCGGUCCAGACUCCUACGGGAGGCAGCAGUGGGGAAUAUUGCACAAUGGGGGAAACCCUGAUGCAGCGACGCCGCGUGAGUGAAGAAGGUCUUCGGAUCGUAAAACUCUGUCCUUGGUGAAGAAAAAAAUGACGGUAGCCAAGGAGGAAGCCCCGGCUAACUACGUGCCAGCAGCCGCGGUAAUACGUAGGGGGCGAGCGUUGUCCGGAUUUACUGGGCGUAAAGGGUGAGUAGGCGGUAAUAUGUGUCAGAUGUAAAAGGCGUAGGCUCAACCUAUGUUAGCAUUUGAAACUGUAUUACUUGAGUGCAGGAGAGGUAAGUGGAAUUCCUAGUGUAGCGGUGAAAUGCGUAGAUAUUAGGAGGAACACCAGUGACGAAGGCGACUUACUGGACUGUAACUGACGCUGAGUCACGAAAGCGUGGGUAGCAAACAGGAUUAGAUACCCUGGUAGUCCACGCUGUAAACGAUGAGUGCUAGGUGUUGGGUAGCGAUAUUCAGUGCCGAAGUUAACACAAUAAGCACUCCGCCUGGGGAGUACGGUCGCAAGACUGAAACUCAAAGGAAUUGACGGGGACCCGCACAAGCAGCGGAGCAUGUGGUUUAAUUCGAAGCAACGCGAAGAACCUUACCAAGGCUUGACAUCCCCUUGACCAGUGCAGAAAUGUACUCUCUCCUUCGGGAGCAAGGGUGACAGGUGGUGCAUGGUUGUCGUCAGCUCGUGUCGUGAGAUGUUGGGUUAAGUCCCGCAACGAGCGCAACCCUUAUCAUUAGUUGCCAGCAGGUUAAGCUGGGCACUCUAAUGAGACUGCCGAUGAUAAAUCGGAGGAAGGUGGGGAUGACGUCAAAUCAUCAUGCCCCUUAUGUC